Small nuclear RNA from Rattus norvegicus (Norway rat), 107 nucleotides. Lineage: Eukaryota; Metazoa; Chordata; Mammalia; Rodentia; Muridae. The record is from Ensembl.
UUGCUUUGGCAUCACAUGUACAAACAUUGGAACCAUACAGAGAACACUAGCAUGGCCCCCACACAAGAAUAAUAUGCAAAUUAAUUCAUGAAGUGGUCCAUAUUUUU